AAGCUUUAUGGCAGAAUAUUGCAAUAGAUUUAGAAUCUAAACACGUUU
RNAcentral lists this transfer RNA (48 nucleotides) under Meta menardi. RNAcentral's name for it is "tRNA-Leu". The record is from RNAcentral. Lineage: Eukaryota; Metazoa; Arthropoda; Arachnida; Araneae; Tetragnathidae.